CUCCUCUACGCCGUUCUUCUCAACUCUCCUCCCCUCUUCCUUCUUUCAUUCUUUUCGACAGUAUACAAACCAGUAGCUAAAACUUCCAUGGCCAACACUCCUUCAUCCGAAACCCAUACCCAAAACCUCCUUUACCAUCGAAUGACUACUCCAAUGGCCUUGACUCCCACGAGAACACCCACUAACAAGUAAUUAAACCCCAAAUGUCUAAGAUGAAGCCACCGAGACUCUACCCCGUUCACAACUAAGGUAGUGACGAUAUUUGGCAACUUGGUGGCUUAGUGGUGAUUUGGGAGCUUGCUGGUGUUCUUCACGUGGGGAGGCAAUGGG
Molecule: long non-coding RNA, 330 nt
Organism: Hibiscus syriacus
Lineage: Eukaryota; Viridiplantae; Streptophyta; Magnoliopsida; Malvales; Malvaceae
Exons: 3
Source: RefSeq, a predicted model, not a curated record